UGGGGAAUUUUGGACAAUGGGCGAAAGCCUGAUCCAGCAAUGCCGCGUGUGUGAAGAAGGCCUUCGGGUUGUAAAGCACUUUUGUCCGGAAAGAAAUCCUUGGCUCUAAUACAGUCGGGGGAUGACGGUACCGGAAGAAUAAGCACCGGCUAACUACGUGCCAGCAGCCGCGGUAAUACGUAGGGUGCAAGCGUUAAUCGGAAUUACUGGGCGUAAAGCGUGCGCAGGCGGUUUGCUAAGACCGAUGUGAAAUCCCCGGGCUCAACCUGGGAACUGCAUUGGUGACUGGCAGGCUAGAGUAUGGCAGAGGGGGGUAGAAUUCCACGUGUAGCAGUGAAAUGCGUAGAGAUGUGGAGGAAUACCGAUGGCGAAGGCAGCCCCCUGGGCCAAUACUGACGCUCAUGCACGAAAGCGUGGGGAGCAAACAGGAUUAGAUACCCUGGUAGUCCACGCCCUAAACGAUGUCAACUAGUUNUUGGGGAUUCAUUUCCUUAGUAACGUAGCUAACGCGUGAAGUUGACCGCCUGGGGAGUACGGUCGCAAGAUUAAAACUUAAAUGAAUUGACGGGGU
This 571-nucleotide ribosomal RNA is filed under the name uncultured bacterium. RNAcentral describes it as "partial 16S ribosomal RNA". It matches the Rfam family "Bacterial small subunit ribosomal RNA", at positions 355 to 919 of the family's 1533-position model. The record is from RNAcentral.